CACUAUAAAGCCAACCCAAUUCCCUUAGCUCGGGUCCUUUUCCAGCAUACCCGGAAGCUACAGAGAUGGAGAGAGAGGAACAGAACAAACAAACAAUGCGCUCAUCCACAACAUUGAUAAUUGAUCUGCUGUCAGAUGGUCAAAGUAGGUGGCCAGCAGUCCGAGCAUCACCAUCGUCACCAUCACCAUUAACCCCAUCAUCAUCAUCACAUCACUAUCAUCACCAUCCCCAUCAUCAUCAUGCAGCAACAGCCUCCUUUCCUCCAGAGGCUUUAGAGUUAAAGCCGAGGGAGAGAAAGUCUGCUAAUCCCUUAACUGAAACACUUCCAGGGUGAUGGUCAGAUUCACGUUUAUCGUCGAAGGAAUGAGCGUUACACCGAGGCCUGUACUCUGGAGCGGGAUCGAUUUGGAGGUGGAGGGUCCGUCAUAGUCUGGGGCGGUGUCUCUCAGCAUCAUCAGACUGAGCUUGUUGUCAUUGCAGGCAAUCUCAAUGCUGUGCGUUACAGGGAAGGUAUUCUCCUCCCUCAUGUGGUAGCCUUCCUGCAGGCUCAUCCUGACAUGACCCUCCAGCAUGACAAUGCCACCAGCCAUACUGCUCAUUCUGUGCGUGAUUUCCUGCAAGACAGGAAUGUCAGCAUUCUGCCAUGGCCAGCGAAGAGCCCGGAUCUCAUUCCCCCCAGAAAUGUCCGGGAACUUGCAUGUGCCUUGGUGGAAGAGUGGGGUAACAUCUCACAGCAAGAACUGGCAAAUCUGUUGCAGUCCGUGAGGAGGAGAUGCACUGCGGUACUUAAUGCAGCUGGUGGCCACACCAGAUACUGACUGUUACUUUUGAUUUUGACCCCCCCUUUGUUCAGGGACACACUAUUCAAUUUCUGUUAGCCACAUGUCUUUCGAACUUGUUCAGUUUAUGUCUCAGUUGUUGAAUCUUGUUAUGUUUGUUGAUAAUAAACUCAGUUGACAGUGA
Molecule: long non-coding RNA, 964 nt
Organism: Oncorhynchus nerka (sockeye salmon)
Lineage: Eukaryota; Metazoa; Chordata; Actinopteri; Salmoniformes; Salmonidae
Exons: 3
Source: RefSeq, a predicted model, not a curated record